CUCUGCAGGCAUACACUACUCUGGCUACCCUAAACACAUCCAAGCUUGUCUGUUCCUGGAGGCCAAGCAGGGUUGGACCCACUUAGUGCUUGCAUGGCAGUCA
RNAcentral lists this ribosomal RNA (103 nucleotides) under Mus pahari (shrew mouse). Its description in RNAcentral is "rRNA (MGP_PahariEiJ_G0032697.1)". The record is from RNAcentral. Lineage: Eukaryota; Metazoa; Chordata; Mammalia; Rodentia; Muridae.